UGGGGAAUUUUGCACAAUGGGGGAAACCCUGAUGCAGCAACGCCGCGUGAGUGAAGAAGGCCCUUGGGUCGUAAAGCUCUUUCGGCUGAGAAGAAGGGCUAUGUGGCUAAUAUCCACGUAGUUUGACGGUAUCAGAAGAAGAAGCACCUGCUAACUUCGUGCCAGCAGCAGCGGUAAUACGAAGGGUGCAAGCGUUGUUCGGAAUUACUGGGCGUAAAGGGCGCGUAGGCGGGUUUGUAAGUCGAAUGUGAAAUCCCCAGGCUCAACCUGGGACCUGCAUUCGAUACUGCUAAUCUUGAAUGCUUGAGAGGGUGGUGGAAUUCCUAGUGUAGAAGUGAAAUUCGUAGAUAUUAGGAGGAACACCUGAGGCGAAGGCGGCCACCUGGCAAGACAUUGACGCUGAGGCGCGAAAGUGCGGGGAGCAAACAGG
RNAcentral lists this ribosomal RNA (430 nucleotides) under uncultured bacterium. Its description in RNAcentral is "bacterial SSU rRNA". It matches the Rfam family "Bacterial small subunit ribosomal RNA", at positions 355 to 776 of the family's 1533-position model. The record is from RNAcentral.